UACUAGAGUAGCACUCGCAUAUCAAUAAGCGGAGGAAAAGAAACUAACAAGGAUUCCCCUAGUAACGGCGAGUGAAGCGGGAAGAGCUCAAAUUUGAAAUUUUAAAGGUUUUCCCUUGACGAAUUGUAGUUUAAAGAAGGUGUUUUCUGUUGAGGUUUUGGUAAAAGUUCUUUGGAAUAGGACAUCAUAGGAGGGUGAGAAUCCCGUAUUUGACCUUUACUUUCAACUUUGUGAUACACUUUCAAAGAGUCGGAUUGUUUGGGAAUGCAGUCCAAAAUGGGUGGUAAAUUUCAUCUAAAGCUAAAUAUUGGCGAGAGACCGAUAGCGAACAAGUACCGUGAGGGAAAGAUGAAAAGAACUUUGAAAAGAGAGUUAAACAGUACGUGAAAUUGUCAAAAGGGGAAGCGUUUGACACCAGUGUUGUUUUUCUGAAAAUCAAUUAAAGAACUGUUUAUGCUAAGUUGUUUAGACUUUAUCAGCUAUCUGCUUAGUUUUGAGCUUUUCUUUAAUGCACUUUUCAGUUAACAAGUCAACAUCAAUUUCUUUUGCUAGUAAAAAAGCUUGAGGAAGGUGGCUUGAGAUUCGGCUUAAGUGUUUAUAGCCUCUUGCCUAUGCAGUCGGAGAGAUUGAGGUCUGCAGCGUAGAUCCUUCGGGGCUAAAUGCAUUUGUGCUAAGUUAUAGCAUUUUAUAGACAACUUGUUGACUAUGAUUUGUCUUGUAGCUUACUCGCUUAUGUUAUUUUACCUACGCUUAGGAUGUUGAACUACUGAGACAUAGA
This 778-nucleotide ribosomal RNA is filed under the name uncultured Neocallimastigales. RNAcentral's name for it is "partial large subunit ribosomal RNA". It matches the Rfam family "Eukaryotic large subunit ribosomal RNA", at positions 20 to 644 of the family's 3401-position model. The record is from RNAcentral. Lineage: Eukaryota; Fungi; Neocallimastigomycota; Neocallimastigomycetes; Neocallimastigales.